GAGCCCAAGAUUGAAAGCUGGCGUCUUCGGCGUCCGCAUUGUAAUCUCAAGAAGUGUUUUCCGCUUCGGACCAUGCCUAAGUCCCUUGGAAAAGGGCAUCAUAGAGGGUGAUAAUCCCGUACAUGGCUUGGAGCGCCCGAGGCUUUGUGAUACGCUUUCUAAGAGUCGAGUUGUUUGGGAAUGCAGCUCAAAAUGGGUGGUAAAUGCCAUCUAAGGCUAAAUAUUGGGGAGAGACCGAUAGCGAACAAGUACAGUGAUGGAAAGAUGAAAAGAACUUUGAAAAGAGAGUUAAACAGUACGUGAAAUUGCCAAAAGGGAAGGGUAGGAGGUCAGAGAUGCGGCCUGGGAUUCAGCCUUGCUUUUGCUUGGUGUUUUUCCCAGAUUGCAGGCCAACGUCGGUUUUGGGCACUGGAGAAGGGUAGGAGGAACGUGGCACCUCUCGGGGUGUGUUAUAGCCUCCUACUGGAUACAGCGACCGAGACCGAGGACAGCAGCGUACUCGCAAGAGCGGGCCUUCGGGCACCUUUACGCUUAGGGCGUUGGCAUAAUGGCCCUCUACCACCCGUCUUGA
Molecule: ribosomal RNA, 571 nt
Filed under: uncultured Pseudozyma
Lineage: Eukaryota; Fungi; Basidiomycota; Ustilaginomycetes; Ustilaginales; Ustilaginaceae
Description: eukaryotic LSU rRNA
Rfam family: Eukaryotic large subunit ribosomal RNA
Source: RNAcentral